AGAGUUUGAUCCUGGCUCAGGAUGAACGCUAGCUGGAGGCUUAAUACAUGCAAGUCGAGCGGGAUUGGUAGCAAUACCAUGAGAGCGGCGCACGGGUGAGUAACGCGUACACGACCUACCUCUGACAGGGGGAUAGCCCUGGGAAACUGGGAUUAAUACCGCAUAUUAUUCUGAUUAAUAAAGGAUUGGAAUGAAAGUUCAGGCGGUCAGAGAUGGGUGUGCGUCUGAUUAGCUAGUUGGUAGGGUAACGGCCUACCAAGGCGAUGAUCAGUAGGGGGCGUGAGAGCGUGAUCCCCCACACGGGUACUGAGACACGGACCCGACUCCUACGGGAGGCAGCAGUAAGGAAUAUUGGACAAUGGCCGCAAGGCUGAUCCAGCCAUCCAGCGUGCAGGAAGAAGGCCCUAUGGGUUGUAAACUGCUUUUAUCAGGGAAUAAACCUCUGGAUUCACUCCGGAGCUGAAGGUACCUGAAGAAUAAGCACCGGCUAACUCCGUGCCAGCAGCCGCGGUAAUACGGAGGGUGCGAGCGUUAUCCGGAAUUACUGGGUUUAAAGGGUGCGUAGGCGGCUUUGUAAGUCAGGAGUGAAAGUUUGCGGC
This 599-nucleotide ribosomal RNA is filed under the name uncultured bacterium. Its description in RNAcentral is "bacterial SSU rRNA". It matches the Rfam family "Bacterial small subunit ribosomal RNA", at positions 8 to 608 of the family's 1533-position model. The record is from RNAcentral.